GUACACUCCUGCGGGAGGCAGCAGUGGGGAAUUUUGGACAAUGGGCGAAAGCCUGAUCCAGCAAUGCCGCGUGAGUGAAGAAGGCCUUCGGGUUGUAAAGCUCUUUUGUCAGGGAAGAAACGGUGAGAGCUAAUAUCUUUUGCUAAUGACGGUACCUGAAGAAUAAGCACCGGCUAACUACGUGCCAGCAGCCGCGGUAAUACGUAGGGUGCAAGCGUUAAUCGGAAUUACUGGGCGUAAAGCGUGCGCAGGCGGUUUUGUAAGUCUGAUGUGAAAUCCCCGGGCUCAACCUGGGAAUUGCAUUGGAGACUGCAAGGCUAGAAUCUGGCAGAGGGGGGUAGAAUUCCACGUGUAGCAGUGAAAUGCGUAGAUAUGUGGAGGAACACCGAUGGCGAAGGCAGCCCCCUGGGUCAAGAUUGACGCUCAUGCACGAAAGCGUGGGGAGCAAACAGGAUUAGAUACCCCAGUAGUCCCAUGAU
This 479-nucleotide ribosomal RNA is filed under the name uncultured organism. Its description in RNAcentral is "partial 16S ribosomal RNA". It matches the Rfam family "Bacterial small subunit ribosomal RNA", at positions 331 to 801 of the family's 1533-position model. The record is from RNAcentral.